CUGACCUUAGCUCAGUUAGUAGAGCGGAGGACUGUAGUUGAGGUAGAAUAUCCUUAGGUCAUUGGUUCGAAUCCGGUAGGUCGGA
RNAcentral lists this transfer RNA (85 nucleotides) under Arabidopsis lyrata subsp. lyrata. It matches the Rfam family "tRNA". Rfam says of the family: Transfer RNA (tRNA) molecules are approximately 80 nucleotides in length. Their secondary structure includes four short double-helical elements and three loops (D, anti-codon, and T loops). The record is from Rfam by way of RNAcentral. Lineage: Eukaryota; Viridiplantae; Streptophyta; Magnoliopsida; Brassicales; Brassicaceae.